This 123-nucleotide small nucleolar RNA is filed under the name Meriones unguiculatus (Mongolian gerbil). RNAcentral's name for it is "Small nucleolar RNA SNORA17 (ENSMUGG00000019685.1)". It matches the Rfam family "Small nucleolar RNA SNORA17". Rfam says of the family: snoRNA ACA 17 belongs to the H/ACA family of snoRNAs and is predicted to guide pseudouridylation of the 28S rRNA at positions U4659 and U4598. It shares the same host gene together with ACA43. The record is from RNAcentral. Lineage: Eukaryota; Metazoa; Chordata; Mammalia; Rodentia; Muridae.
CCUGCCCCUGGAAGCAGCACGGGUAUGGCUGCCGGGUCACGUGCGUCAGUUGGUGACAGAGAGGAGAGUGGCUAUGUCUACGCUCAGCAUUCUGAACUCCUGAAUGAUUAGUAGCCUAACAUU